Molecule: small nuclear RNA, 119 nt
Organism: Rattus norvegicus (Norway rat)
Lineage: Eukaryota; Metazoa; Chordata; Mammalia; Rodentia; Muridae
Source: Ensembl
GUGUUGUAUGAAAGGAGAGAAGGUUAGCACUCCCCUUGACAAGAAUGGAAGAGGCCCUUGGGCCUAGCAACACACAUACAAAUGCUUAGUGCAGGACGUGGCACCAUUUGAAAAAAUUA